Molecule: non-coding RNA, 45 nt
Organism: Schistosoma margrebowiei
Lineage: Eukaryota; Metazoa; Platyhelminthes; Trematoda; Strigeidida; Schistosomatidae
Source: Rfam
AUUCAGCUGACCAGUCUCGAAUAAAACGCAACGCGUGUCCUGGAU